GCCCGGAUGGCGGAAUGGUAGACGCCGCGGCCUUAAAAGCCGCUGUUCUUCGGGACGUGCGGGUUCGAGUCCCGCUCCGGGCA
This 83-nucleotide transfer RNA is filed under the name Solirubrobacterales bacterium. RNAcentral's name for it is "tRNA-Leu". It matches the Rfam family "tRNA". Rfam says of the family: Transfer RNA (tRNA) molecules are approximately 80 nucleotides in length. Their secondary structure includes four short double-helical elements and three loops (D, anti-codon, and T loops). Lineage: Bacteria; Bacillati; Actinomycetota; Thermoleophilia; Solirubrobacterales. The record is from RNAcentral.